RNAcentral lists this ribosomal RNA (1133 nucleotides) under Ageratinicola kunmingensis. RNAcentral's name for it is "SSU rRNA". It matches the Rfam family "Eukaryotic small subunit ribosomal RNA", at positions 30 to 1604 of the family's 1831-position model. Lineage: Eukaryota; Fungi; Ascomycota; Dothideomycetes; Pleosporales. The record is from RNAcentral.
GCUUCUCAAAGAUUAAGCCAUGCAUGUCUAAGUAUAAGCAAUUAUACCGUGAAACUGCGAAUGGCUCAUUAAAUCAGUUAUCGUUUAUUUGAUAGUACCUUACUACUUGGAUAACCCGUGGUAAUUCUAGAGCUAAUACAUGCUGAAAACCCCAACUUCGGGAGGGGUGUAUUUAUUAGAUAAAAAACCAACGCCCUUCGGGGCUUCUUGGUGAUUCAUGAUAACUUUACGGAUCGCAUGGCCUUGCGCCGGCGACGGUUCAUUCAAAUUUCUGCCCUAUCAACUUUCGAUGGUAAGGUAUUGGCUUACCAUGGUUUCAACGGGUAACGGGGAAUUAGGGUUCGAUUCCGGAGAGGGAGCCUGAGAAACGGCUACCACAUCCAAGGAAGGCAGCAGGCGCGCAAAUUACCCAAUCCCGACACGGGGAGGUAGUGACAAUAAAUACUGAUACAGGGCUCUUUUGGGUCUUGUAAUUGGAAUGAGUACAAUUUAAACCUCUUAACGAGGAACAAUUGGAGGGCAAGUCUGGUGCCAGCAGCCGCGGUAAUUCCAGCUCCAAUAGCGUAUAUUAAAGUUGUUGCAGUUAAAAAGCUCGUAGUUGAAACUUGGGUCUGGCUGGCAGGUCCGCCUCACCGCGUGUACUUGUCCGGCCGGGCCUUCCUUCUGGAGAACCUCAUGCCCUUCACUGGGCGUGUUGGGGACCAGGACUUUUACUUUGAAAAAAUUAGAGUGUUCAAAGCAGGCCUUUGCUCGAAUACGUUAGCAUGGAAUAAUAGAAUAGGACGUGCGGUCCUAUUUUGUUGGUUUCUAGGACCGCCGUAAUGAUUAAUAGGGACAGUCGGGGGCAUCAGUAUUCAAUUGUCAGAGGUGAAAUUCUUGGAUUUAUUGAAGACUAACUACUGCGAAAGCAUUUGCCAAGGAUGUUUUCAUUAAUCAGUGAACGAAAGUUAGGGGAUCGAAGACGAUCAGAUACCGUCGUAGUCUUAACCGUAAACUAUGCCGACUAGGGAUCGGGCGAUGUUCUUUUUCUGACUCGCUCGGCACCUUACGAGAAAUCAAAGNUUUUGGGUUCUGGGGGGGAGUAUGGUNNNCCGCAAGGCUGAAACUAGAAGAUUAGUUUGCCGCGGGGAGGA